This 542-nucleotide transfer RNA is filed under the name uncultured Prochlorococcus sp. RNAcentral's name for it is "partial 16S-23S ribosomal RNA intergenic spacer". The stretch from base 212 to 284 matches the Rfam family "tRNA". Lineage: Bacteria; Bacillati; Cyanobacteriota; Cyanophyceae; Synechococcales; Prochlorococcaceae. The record is from RNAcentral.
CAGGGAGACAACAAAAUGUUUAAUAUUAUUAUUUUGUCACCUUAGGUCGAUCGGUAUCUCAGAUUCUUAAUUAAUUAAGAAUUUCAUUUCCUAAGUUUUUCUAGGUCACACCCAUUAUUUUUCCUGGGCCAUUAGCUCAGGUGGUUAGAGCGCACCCCUGAUAAGGGUGAGGUCCCUGGUUCAAGUCCAGGAUGGCCCAUAUCUCUAUGUUGGGGGUAUAGCUCAGUUGGUAGAGCGCCUGCUUUGCAAGCAGGAUGUCAGCGGUUCGAGUCCGCUUACCUCCACUGAUUACCACCUCUUCCAUAAUCUGUAGAAAGGAAAUGUUUUGAGUUGUGAUCAAAUUCUGAGCGAAUCUAGCUUCCUAAUGAAAGCAUUAAGAUGCUGGACUCAUUGAAUUAAUUUCAUUGUUUUCAGAGAACCUUGACAACUGCAUAGAUUAUUUUUUUAAAGACAAUAAGCAUCUUUAAUGAUGCAGAUUUAUUAUUUGUGCGAAUGCAUUAAUAACAAUUCUAUUAAGCUGAUGCUUCAAUUUUGAAGUUAUU